This 1384-nucleotide long non-coding RNA is filed under the name Olea europaea subsp. europaea. The record is from RNAcentral. Lineage: Eukaryota; Viridiplantae; Streptophyta; Magnoliopsida; Lamiales; Oleaceae.
AAUAUCAACCACAAUUGUCAACCGUGUAAUCGUACAAAUUAUUCAAUCUCGUGUGCAUAAUUGUGCCCCUUAAAUUACCAGAGUACCAUAUUAAUCCCACCCCGAGAAGGGGCAAGAUUGGUAAUUUAUGGUGGUAUAAAUUGGGGCCUCUUGCUCAUCAGCGAAGCACCGUUAGCCCGGAAACAAAGAAUUAGGGUUGAUAGAGAUUGGGGAUUUCUUCAAGGGUGGUUACCCCUCUCUUUUUGCCCAAUGAUUUCUUCGUUUUCAAAAUCUAACAGCCCUUAAAGAGAAAUCAAAACCAAGUAAAUAAUAACAAUAAUAAUAAAAUCCCUUGUUUGAGCUCCAUUAUUCUUAAACGUUCGGCUAAGCUUCAUAGUUGAGCCUCCGUUUGGUGAAAUUUAUAUAUUGUUUCGGAGUUUUGCAAAUUUCCCUUCGAGGAAGUUGACCUAUUGAGUAGAAAGGGGCUGUGAUGAUUUUUCUCUUUUUGUUUCUGAGCUAAUGGAUCGGGCAUUGAGAUGAUCUGACCUGUAUCUUGGCGUGGCAACCCUGGAUGGCUCUGUGAUUAGGAUUUCUUUAACAGAUGCAACCAGUGAUUUGCAGCCAUGGCAAGGUCAAUUUCUCUUUGCCUGCUUAUUUUUCACAGAUCUGAGCCUCGAUUUAGGUUUUCUUUCAAUUCUCUUUCGAUUUUCUGAGGCCUGUUUUAUUUUUAAUUAUGGUGGUCUUUUGCAUAAUUUAUUAUUAUUGAUAUUCCUGUAAGAAAAGGGUAGACUUUUGGUAAGAAGUAUCUUUUAUUGAGUCUUUAUUAUUAUUAUUAUAUUUUGUUUUUGUCAGUUAAUUACUAUUUGGAGCAUAUCUAUAUUUUAAAAAAAGAAUUAUGUGGGGAUUUUUGAUGAGGAUUUUUCUAUUUGUAAAUAAAAAAUGUUCAUAAUGAAUUACAUAAUAUGAUGGGGGAGUGACAGUAUUUGAUGAAAAAAUUGAAUGUAUUUUAAGCUAACAAAUGUUAGAAUGUCACGUGGCAUUAAGAAAUUCUUUCCUCACAUGCAUUAUUUAUUUUUAUUUUUAUUUUUUGUAAAGCAAUUGGAUAGUAAUGAGUUAAUCUACAAUUGGCUUUAGCUCUCUUCCAUGCAAUGGCAUUUCAGCUCGACGUCGCACAUUAACCUUUUAACAAGAGUUCAAAUUACUCGUGCUACUAUACUAUACUUUGGAUGUCCAGUGGGUCUAAUGUUCGACUGUUGUGACUUAAAAAACUUUCAUUUCAUUUGGAGGGUCGUGAUUUGAGGGAACAGUUUAUCGCAUGAUUAGUCCCAUACGUCUUCGCUUGUAAAUCCAACUAACAAACAUAACAUAAGCUUACACCAACUUGAAAUAAUUGCGUGCUCGUUUG